CUUGAAAUGGGCUGAGUCCCUCUUGCUCACCCUUGACUUGGAAAAACCAGUUUCUCUUUUAUUGUCUGUUACUAAUCUCUAUUCUAAAAAUUCAGCUCAAUUCUCAACCAUACUCCAAACUCUCUCUUUUCCAGCUACCUUUACUCCCUCUCCUUCAAUUCCACUUUCCUCUGCUUACUUUUUUUUUUUUUCUGACAGGGUCUCACUUUGUCGCCCGGGCAGGAGUGCAGUGGCUCAAUCUUGGGCUCACUGCAGCCUCAACCUCCCAGAGGCGGGGUUUCACCAUGUUGCCCAGACUGGUCUUGAACUCCUGAGCUUAAGCAAUCCACCUGCCUCGGCCUCCCAAAGUGUUGGGAUCACAGGCGUGAGCCACCGCAUCCGGCCUCAUGUUCUUUUUCAUUAAAGAGAGAAAUCAACUAUUCAGGACCGGCCCCCACCUUUCCUCAGGAGUCAUUUCUGUUCCGCACAGGCCUGCUGAACUGGGUGCUUUAUAUAGGACACUGUCAUCUCUCAAGUACCCAUCUUGGAGGGUACGGACCCCACAUGAGGGUGAGGCUCUCUGCACACUCCAGAGUGAGGACUUUAAUAAUCUAGUGGACUGUACAUGUUGGGAGGGGAAGAGCGGGGUGCCGAGGGUCUGGAGGGAGAAGAAUUGACUGCCCCUUUUGCUCUUGGAGUUAAGCAGAAAUCUAAAGAGAAGGCAAAGAAUCUUGCCUUCCUGGCAUCAUUUCCUCCUACCAUCCCAGGCCAUCAUUUAUUUAUUACAGCCAACAGACUGGCCUCUUUCUUCCCUUUGACUGGGAAUGGGUCAAAGGCGGUGCAGGAGGAGGAUCUGGUCCAGAUAAUUCACAAGCAGGGUGCAUUUUCCUCUCAUUAUUGAGAACUGUGAGUGUUUAUCAAGAAGGCAGAGCAGGAGAAGAUGAACCAGUCUUCUUCCCCUCACUACCCAGAUCUCUGCCUGCCAACAAGCCCCGUGUUCACCCUGGCAAAGAGUCUUUACAUUCAGACCAAGGAGAGUGUGACUCCUUCUCAGCACUAGCUAGAAACCUCAAGCCCUUGCUUAAGGGCCUUUUUCAGAGAGACCCAAUGCCCAGAAGGCUAGAUGCGUGGGGAGGAGCCACAUACGAGAAACUGCCUCCCUGCUUCGGGUCAGAACAAGCCCCAGGAAGAAAGUAUUUCAAACAACAAGGUGCAUCUGCCCCAACCCAUCCAGCCUGCAUGUUGGUGCUGAGAACAGCCUUUUAUGGGGCUUGCACUGAGCCAUGGGCAUGUCUGAACACAACAAGGAAGAGGCCAGAGCAGCAACAGCACGCAAAGGGUUGAUGGGCAUUUCUUUUAAGACAGAGCAGAAAACUCUUAGAUACUUUGCGUCCUUCCUAUUUGACUCAGUCUAUGAAAGCCAGGUUAGCUUGCUUUCUUCCUCCCUAAAUCCUCCAUCCUCAUGACCAACAAAGAAAUAGUUGAAUCAUUUUCCAGGCACAUCUUGGGGAGGAUGUGGGGCCAUUGGAGGCUGUCCUUCCUAGAUAAGUCUUUAGGAGUGAGAACAAGGAGUCUUACCCUCCUCUGUCCACCCACCCCCAUGAAUGGGCCUGGCUCCAGCCAGGAGUUGUGGUUUUUCCUGAGCUCCUCACCUAUCUCUUCUGGAUUUCACAUUGGCAAACGGGGUUGCAAAGUGCUCUUCGUGCUCUUUGGACAGUGCCUUGUGGAGAGGAAUGCCCAUGCCCCUGCAUUCCAAGGCCUUGGUAAGCAAGCUCAGAGUAGCUGGAUUUUUCUAAAGCAAUUGCAGAACACCUGCUUUUUCUUUGUUUCCUCUAGAAAGGACCAACCACACCGAGCUCAGUUAUGGCACACACAGUGGGACCUAGACAAAGGGAGAGGGUGACCGACAUCCCAACUAGGUAAACACAGAGGAGGUUCCACAUGGACUUAUCUGGGUGGCUGUUUUGAAAACGAGAAACAGUCAAGAGUCCCUGGCCCCACAGACCCACCUCCCCAACUCAGCACUGUCUGUCUGUGCAGCAGGUGCAAGGACGUGUUGAACUAGCUCUCUGCAGCCUCCUUGGAGGAUGUGAUCCUAUGGGAGGGGUAGGAGUAUUCAGGUCCUUGACAUCUCCCAAAUGUGUGAUUCCGGGAUGCCAAAGGCCUUUGGCCAGGUAAUGCAGUGUCUACAGGCUGAGGUUGACAUGCAUCCCCACCCUCUGAGAAAAAGAUCCUCAGACAAUCCAUGUGCUUCUCUUGUCCUUCAUUCCACCGGAGUCUGUCUCAUACCCAACCAGAUUUCAGUGGAGUGAAGUUCAGGAGGCAUGGAGCUGACAACCAUGAGGCCUCGGCAGCCACCGCCACCACCGCCGCCGCCACCACCGUAGCAGCAGCAGCAGCAGCAGCAGCAGCAGCAGCAGCAGCAAGAGUAACUCUGACUUAGGAAUAGAGACAGCCAGAGAGAAAUGUGAUCAAUGAAGGAGACAUCUGGAGUGUGCGUGCUUCUUCAGAGGGACGGGUGAUGGGCAGAUUGGAAAAAGCACCGCAGAUGGGAACCUUAAUCUUUCUUUUCUAAAAUUGAUGCUAUGAAAAUUUGCGUUUUCUGUAACUUGUAAAAACUAAAAGUUGCUUGUCUACUGAAAAGCCUCUCUGCCUCUAUGUUUUAUACCAUCGGAUGCCAACUCCCGGCCUUCUAAGCCACCUCCCCUUUAGGCUAAAACUGAGACAUGAACUUGAAAAAUUGACACUGGCUUCCUCUCUCUUUAGGGUCCCCAGGCAGGUGGCUGGGACACUAUUUGCAAUCAGCAAGGAACCCUGCUGCCCUUAGACUCCCCACAGAGCAAGCAGAACUUGCAGAAUGGGGUAAAAACACUCUAUUAAAGAUUUUUUAAACCUAUUUAUAUUGUAAUAAAGUAAAUGUAAAUAAAAUUUA
Molecule: long non-coding RNA, 2911 nt
Filed under: Homo sapiens (human)
Lineage: Eukaryota; Metazoa; Chordata; Mammalia; Primates; Hominidae
Description: PREDICTED lncRNA (TCONS_00011099)
Rfam family: mir-205 microRNA precursor family (bases 2231-2304)
Source: RNAcentral